RNAcentral lists this ribosomal RNA (446 nucleotides) under uncultured bacterium. Its description in RNAcentral is "bacterial SSU rRNA". It matches the Rfam family "Bacterial small subunit ribosomal RNA", at positions 217 to 662 of the family's 1533-position model. The record is from RNAcentral.
GGUAUGGGAUGAGCUUGCGUCCGAUUAGCUAGUUGGCGGGGCAACGGCCCACCAAGGCGACGAUCGGUAGCCGGCCUGAGAGGGUGAUCGGCCACAUUGGGACUGAGAUACGGCCCAGACUCCUACGGGAGGCAGCAGUAGGGAAUAUUGCACAAUGGGGGGAACCCUGAUGCAGCAACGCCACGUGUGGGAAGAAGCAUUUCGGUGUGUAAACCACUGUCGUGGGGGAAUAAGGCCUGUUCUAGGACAGGAUUGAAUGUACCUCGAAAGGAAGCACCGGCAAACUUCGUGCCAGCAGCCGCGGUAAUACGAGGGGUGCAAGCGUUGUUCGGAAUCACUGGGCGUAAAGGGAGCGUAGGCGGAGAUUCAAGCGGAUUGUACAAUCCCGGGGCCCAACCCCGGACCUGCAGUCCGAACUGGAUCUCUUGGAUAGUUCAGGGGCAGGC